ACUUGCAAUCAGGAAUUUAUCCUCAAGUGGACUGACAGGGGAGAUUGCUCCUCAAAUUUUCAAUCUCACGGUGAUACAAUCUUUGGAUUUGUCGAACAAUAAACUAACUGGACCGGUGCCUAGUUUUCUAUCCCAACUUGAUUCUUUGACAGUCCUAAACUUGAGAGGAAACAAUUUCACUGGUCCAGUUCCAGAAGAACUCCUUGAAAAAUCAAAAAAUGGAUCACUAUU
This is a long non-coding RNA of Cornus florida, 231 nucleotides long. RefSeq lists it as uncharacterized. The record is from RefSeq and is a predicted model, not a curated record. Lineage: Eukaryota; Viridiplantae; Streptophyta; Magnoliopsida; Cornales; Cornaceae. The transcript is spliced from 3 exons.